GUAAAAUUAAAAUUCCAGACCUUGUAUGUCAGGUUUGCUCAGUGUAAUGUAGUUUUUUUAAGGCUCAAAUACUAUACCUCAGAAAAUGAGGUUUACUAUGGAAAUACUGCAACAGUCUUUGCAGCUGUGUGAGAAGCCACUCUGCUCUAUACCAGUUUGGAGCCCUCCGCUGAACACUUUGAUCACUGCGGACUAAAAUGUGGGACUUGUAUUUUCUUUGUUUUUAAUGCACACGCAUACGUGUUCUGUGCAUGUGUGUGGGUACUGUGUAUAUGUGUAUGAGUGUUGUAUAUGCCUGUGUGAGUGUGUGUCUGUAUGUGUGUACAACUAAAGAAGCUGCAGAAACUUUGUAAUACUUUGUGAAAAGGAUUAUAUUAUAAAGGUUUGUACUGUCUGAGUGCACAGCUACUGGAAUAAAUUUAGGGAAUCUCAGGAACAAGCAUAUAAUUUGUCCAAGAUUUAUUUCUUCUCAGAAGUGUAAGUGCAGUUUUUAAUUCUGUAUAUUAUUUAAUAUUUUACCAAUAAAAUAAACUUCUGACAUAAAAAGUUUGCUAUAAAAACUUUCUGGUGAAAAUUCUGUACACAAACACAUCUUCCAAAUACAGAAGAAUAAACCCUGGGAUAGAUUCAGGUGUAUUUCAGUUGUCAUUGACGCUGCGUACACAUGUCACACGUCCUGACACGUGAGAGCAGCCGUCCCACGAGUAAGUGCCAUGGAGUCCAGAGCACAGGGCAGAGAAGUCCCUUAUUUGUUAAGGGUGACAUCUCUUUGCUCUUCAGGCAGUUUUCCUAUCUCUCUUAUUUUACCUUUAUAACUAAUUUGAGAGGUAUGUAUGCCAGCACCUAUCCCCUAUUAAUAGAAGAAAAAAGUGAGACCCAAGGGAAGAGAGUUGUGACUUGCUCCAAAGUGCACAGUGAAUUUCAUAAGCAGUCCAAGUAAUGGUCAAUAACCAUAUUAGAAGCUAGCAUUUCUUAGGAGUCAGACCAAGAUUAAAUAAAGGAUUAAUUCACAGAGAUUGUUCAAUCACAUUGGCAAUCUCACUAUAUGAGAGAGAAACUUCUCAGAUUUUACAAAUACAGUUUGUUUUACCAUGAGAAGUUCUGUUACAAUUCUCUUCAUAACCAGAAAUGUAAAAGGGCACAUGCGAUUGCAGACUCAUUUUAUUUAGCUUUAGCUAUGUAUUAUCCCCCAUGCCAAUUUAAAGUCUACCGUCACAUUUGAGAUAGCCAUUAGAAUUUAUCUUCAUAGGUAAGUAUUUACAGAAUUCCAUGGAUAUUUAUCACAUUCCCCACUAACUUCACUGCCAUAUGCCACACAGAUGAAAAAUACUACAAAUUCAAAUGAAAUUUUUUUCUUCCUUGACUUUUAAUUCAAAAUACUAACUUAACUGAUGGGGGGGAGUGCAAACAAAGGGAGUAACAAGGCAAAGAAGAAAAAAAGAGAAUGAACUUAACAGAUGACUAGCAUUAAGUUUGUGAAAGAUCCCUCCAGUAGCAGCGAGAAAUGCUUAUCAGAUCUCCUGCUUUAUCGUAUUGACAAGAGCAAAAUGGAAAAGAUUUUUUUAAAACAUGCCAUAUGUUCUUGAUUUUUCUAUUGCAUUAGGGUCAGAGAAACAAAUAAUUGAAAUCUUGAUCUGAUUGUAAGACUUUUUAUCACUAUACUCAAGUCAAAGGGCUGUCCUUGGGGUGCGAGCCACCUUGUGAAGGAAGUUCAUUUAGCAUUUUAGCAACUCUGUUUCUUACUAUUAGGGUGUUUUAAGAUGGACCCGUUAAACUUCCAGCAAAACCUCAUGUUCUGUUAAUAGCCCCACUAACAGUUCCCAGUGUAAUCUUUUAACAUCUCACUAGAAAUACCAAUUAAAGAUAACUGGUGAAAUUGAAUUUUGCUGCUUUUCUCUGAUUUGAAGCAAAACUGGAAGGAGGUACUUCCGUAAACUAGCCUCACGGGCAGAUGGAAGGAAUUGACAAAGAGAUAAAGUGUCCAUAAUCCCAUAUGAAAAUGGGUUGAAGUGGAGAGACGUCCUGGAAAACAAAAGUAUGCGCAGUCUGAGAAGAAGAAAUAUUAGCUUUUUGCUUUUGUCCUCACAGUUGCUCUAUAAUCCUAGAAUAUGUCUUCGAUCAAACUAACUGCUUCUAACUUGAAAUUUUGUCAAGCACAGGACAAAUCCCUCAAAACAGUAAAAACAGACGCUGCCCAUGUCGGUGUUGAGUUGUUUGUUCUGGAAACCCUUAAAAAAGAGCUGUAUGACCCUGAUCAUCUGACCAACUGGAACCUAUGCAAAGAAGCAAGAUUUUUUAGUGCUCCAGGAAGAACCAAGAGUAAAAAGGAAGUCAGGUAAGGGUGUGGCUAUUGGGGUCUCCUAGGCCGUAGGUAAGCCUGUGACUAAACAGGCAGGAGGAACUCAGCGGUGUUGGUGUCAUUUCUCCUCAACUGAUGGAGAUUGGGCAUCCCAGUCUCUACCGGGAGUGCUUCAUGAAAUCUCUUGAUGGGGAAGUAGGAGAAUUUAACUAAGAGAGAAUGGGAAUAAAGUCUAUAUUAUGUCAAUGCCCUGAGCCCAAGUAUUCGUUCUUGUUGGUGGAUAUAAAAGCAUAAAAGACUGGCCAAUACAGCUUUUGUAAAUUAUGGAUGUGUUUCCAACUGUGUGACCCACCAUUCGAAAGUAAGGACAGGGAGAGUAGGGUAUUUUGCUCUCAGAGCAGUAACAGUGGAUGCUGGGAAGUAGGAUAUCCCAGUCUUGGGAGUAAGUGUCCUUCUUUUCUUCUCCAUUUUUUUCCUUCUUUCCAUUUCCCCUUGUAUUAUGUAACUCAUCUGUAUUUCUUUCUAGUUCCUUCCCCUCCUUUCUCAUGUGUGUCCACAUCAACCUUUUUUUCUCUUUCCACUCUCUUCUCUGCAUAACCUACUGUUACCAUUUGCUAUCUGUUUUUCUCAACCUUGUCACAAUUCUGCUUAACUCAUCUGAAAUAUAAUCUCUUUCAGUAUAAGUAAUUUAAUAUAUAUGAGUUUUAACUAUACCCUUUCUUACAAGUACUUUACAAAUUAGCACAGUUGUUACUGGCUUUAUGUAAUUCACUCUCAAAAUUCUCAUGGAAAGUGUAGGGUAUCUGAUACUUAAUUUUAUUGAUAAGCAAACUGGUUCAGGUUGCUUUUGAUUUUGUUCAGAAACACCCCAAUAAGUGAAAAAGCUAAAAAUAGAUUCUAAUUCCAGAUACACUUAGUCCAGUAUUUCAUUUUCUAAAGUUUAUUCAGCAUUUGAUUGAUAAGCCCCAUUAAUAAAGGGGAAUAACAAAUUUAUAGUCUGAAUUUUUGUGUCCCCCAGAUUCAUGUGUUGAAAUCCUAUUGCCAAUUUGAUGGUCUCAGGAGGUGGGACCUUUGGGAGGUGGUUAGGACAUGAGAGUGGAACCCUCAUGAUGGAAUUAAUGUUCUUAUAAAAGAGACCCCACAGAGCUCCCUAGUCCCUUCCACCAUGUGAGGACACAGUGAGAAGUCACCAGCCAUGAAACAGGAAGAGAGCUUUCACCAGAACGCAACCAUGAUGGCACCUUGAUCUUGGACUUCCAGCCUCCAGAACUGAAGGAGACAUGUACAACCAUUUGGAAUUUCUUGGCUUUGACCUGUCAAGUCUCUGCAGUCUUCAAGGAUGGUUGCUGUAGUUACGCCUACCAUCAUAUUCUCCAGUCGUACUUCUACAAUGCAACAUAAUUUACAGACACAGCUUCUCAUAAAGAUUUCCAAAGGUAAGUAAUUUUGUUUUUUCAGGAGAUAGGAAAACUUUGUUUUCCUAACUUAAAAUCUGUCGUUCAUUGUAGUUGACAAAAGGACAUUCUUGAGUUCCAAACCCCAUACUGGCCUAAAUAUUAGGAACUGGUUCCCUACAUCCUGGGACUUGACAGAUCUGUACCCUCACUUUCUUAUUUGUUGUAGAAUGCAUCUUCUUAUGCAAUAUCCAUUAAAUCAAUAGUAUUUUGGAAAAUUUUCUGUGUGUCUGGUGUCAUCCUAGAAGCCAUGACAUUUUUGAAAAGCAAGCUCCUAAUUAUAUUUUUCAUUUACUUUUUUUUGAGGAAGAUCAGCCCUGAGCUAACAUCUGCCACCAAUCCUCCUCUUUUUGCUGAGGAAGACUGGCCCUGAGCUAACAUCCGUGCCCAUCUUCCUCUACUUUAUACGUGCGAUGCCUGCCACAGCAUGGCUUGAUGAGCAAUGCAUAGAUCCGCACCUGGGAUCCGAACUGGCAAACCCCGGGCCGCCCAAGCGGAACAGCCAAACUUAACUGCUGCGCCACCCGCCGGCCCCAACAAGCUCCUAAUUUUAGGAAACAAGAAAUACAAUUGGGAAAUUAGGAAACAAAAAGAUUCCAAGACAAUCGUAAAGGAAUAGAGAAAAUAGACCUUAGACUGUGUAAGUACUCAAGGCCUUCACUGAAAGGAGAAGAAGGACCUUUCUCAUUGGAUGAGUGUCUUAUUUGUGCAGACUGUAAAGGAAGUGAAUUCUGAAGACAUAGGGAAACGUAGAGUGCCUGAGAGGGCUUCUGGGCAGAGGGAGCAGGGUAAAGCUUGGGAAAGUCUAACGUCUAUGAGAAAUGU
Molecule: long non-coding RNA, 4578 nt
Filed under: Equus asinus (donkey)
Lineage: Eukaryota; Metazoa; Chordata; Mammalia; Perissodactyla; Equidae
Description: lncRNA (ENSEASG00005028328.1)
Source: RNAcentral